AGAGUUUGAUCCUGGCUCAGGACGAACGCUGGCGGCGUGCUUAACACAUGCAAGUGGAGCGACGAACGGACUUCGGUCCGGGCAAAGCCGCGAACGGGUGAGUAACACGUGGGUUACCUGCCCUGAUGACCGGGACAACCCGAGGAAACUCGGGCUAAUACCGGAUGUGCCCGCAAGGGGAAAGGAAGCUUCGGCCUCCGCAUCAGGAUGGGCCCGCGGCGCAUUAGCUUGUUGGUGGGGUAACGGCCUACCAAGGCGACGAUGCGUAGCUGGUCUGAGAGGACGAUCAGCCACACUGGGACUGAGACACGGCCCAGACUCCUACGGGAGGCAGCAGUGGGGAAUCUUGCACAAUGCGCGAAAGCGUGAUGCAGCAACGCCGCGUGUGGGAAGACGGCCUUCGGGUUGUAAACCACUUUCAGUUGGGACGAAGGUUCGAUCGUUAAUAGCGGUUUGGACUGACGGUACCUUCACAAGAAGCCCCGGCUAACUACGUGCCAGCAGCCGCGGUAAUACGUAGGGGGCAAGCGUUGUCCGGAAUCAUUGGGCGUAAAGCGCGUGUAGGUGGCUCAGUAAGUCCGCUCUGAAAGUCCAAGGCUCAACCUUGGGAUGCGGGUGGAUACUGCUGGGCUCGAGUCCGGAAGAGGCGGGUGGAAUUCCUGGUGUAGCGGUGAAAUGCGCAGAUAUCAGGAGGAACACCAAUGGCGAAGGCAGCCCGCUGGGACGUGACUGACGCUGAGACGCGAAAGCGUGGGGAGCAAACAGGAUUAGAUACCCUAGUAGUCC
Molecule: ribosomal RNA, 786 nt
Filed under: uncultured bacterium
Lineage: Bacteria
Description: bacterial SSU rRNA
Rfam family: Bacterial small subunit ribosomal RNA
Source: RNAcentral